AGCAACAACAACAGCAGCUUUUUCAGCAGCUCCAGCUCUAGUAGCAACAGUUCCAGAGUGAAUAGCAACAGCAACUGUAGCAGUUUCAGAGGGAGCAGUAGCAACAGCAGGAAAUAGUUCCUGAAAUAGUAUUUGGAGUCAAGACAGAUCCCCACCCCAGUUGAAUAAUAUAGGAAUUGCCAGACUGGAUCAAAGCAGUGGUCCAUCUGGGCCAGACUCUUUUCAUAAAGUGACCAAUAACAGCAGCUGAAGAGUAAGAUGGAUAAAACCCCAUGGAGAAAAAAUUAUUGGAUAGCUUUCUCCUGCUGAAACUUUUCCAUUUUCCUUCCUUGUGCUUUAAUAUUUCCUGUUAUAACUGUAGAUAUUGUCAUCUAAGUAAUCUUACUUUAAAUCCUGGUGAGUUCUGGCUUCAGUAAUAAUAUGCAGCUACUAUGCCUAUCCUUUAAGGAUUUAAAAAAAUUGUAAAUAGUGUGUUAACAAUUCACCUUAAAUUUGAACAUGUCCUUGCACUCUUUGGUUUAGAUGCGAUUGGUUGUAUUAAUGUCAAAAUAUUGGGAGAAGUUGCUUCUUUGGUAUUUCUAUCUCGAGCAAGUAACUGCUUCUUGUGAAACAUCCAGGCUCAGUUUUACAGAAUUAAUUCGCCUGGAUAUUUCAAAUAAGCUGAGAUGAGGUCAAGACAGAACCUCUCUAAGGUCAAUGGCACAGAGCAUCUCUAGCCUGCUGAUUUAAUAUCAAGGCAUAAGUUUCUGUGUAUUUACUGGCUCUGGAAUUCUAGCUUUUGGGACCAAUGUCAAUACUAUCAAAUGACGUCAUCUGUGUUCAUCUGUCCUGAACAGAGAUGAAAAAUUGACCCUGGCAAAAAGAAAAGGUGAUAUUAUUUUUGGAAUACUGAAUAUGGAUACUUAAAAAAGUUACAAGAAUUUCAGUUGCCAUAAUAUAAAUACCUUGGUAUGGAUUGCACAAUAAAAAAUGUGCUGUCAAUUUUUGAACGAGGACUGCUUGUACAAAUUGUUGAUUUGACUCAAAGGCUUUUUGGGUUUUUUUUUUCUGGUGGACCUUGUACAUAAUCCAAUACAGCUUGGCUGUUUUAGGACUGAUAACAUUCUUCACUGGCUCCUUUUAAAUCUUAAGAAGGGAGCUGUAAUGAGCUGAAAUGAUCGUAAUAAGAGAGAGAUAUUAAGAAAAGAGGUAGGUUUAAACAGAGAAAUUGGCAGGGUUACUUCUUUUCUUUUCUUCUGAAGUAGUCUGUGAUAGUUAUGGGAAGUAUUAUACCAACAGCAAAAGAAUACAGAUUACACAUCGCUCCUAACAUUUUAUCCAUUAAAGAAAACAAAAGAGAACUGAGCAAAACAUCGAAAAUAUCUAGAAAUACCAAUUGAAUUGAUUAAACAAUAUUGCAACCUUUUCUUUGCUUUGUUUCUUUAUUCUGCAUUUUCUGAGAGGAGUUUAAUGAUUGGUUUGUGUGAAAACAUCAUAUUUUAAGGGAGAAUUAAGAGAAUAUUCAUAGACAGUGAAGUGUGAACUUGUAAAUGUGAAAUUGUGCUUAAAGCCUGAUUCUUAGUUUUACAAGAUGUGCUCAUGCUAUGAGCAGCCUUACCUAAUGUUCAUGUUCAUAAUAAAAUACUUUCUUUUACA
Gavialis gangeticus (Gharial) is the source of this 1635-nucleotide long non-coding RNA. RefSeq lists it as uncharacterized. The transcript has 2 exons. NCBI's taxonomy places the organism in Eukaryota, Metazoa, Chordata, Crocodylia, Gavialidae. The record is from RefSeq and is a predicted model, not a curated record.